RNAcentral lists this ribosomal RNA (500 nucleotides) under uncultured bacterium. RNAcentral describes it as "partial 16S ribosomal RNA". It matches the Rfam family "Bacterial small subunit ribosomal RNA", at positions 30 to 523 of the family's 1533-position model. The record is from RNAcentral.
AUUGAACGCUGGCGGCAUGCCUUACACAUGCAAGUCGAACGGCAGCACGGGAGCAAUCCUGGUGGCGAGUGGCGAACGGGUGAGUAAUAUAUCGGAACGUGCCCAGUCGUGGGGGAUAACGUAGCGAAAGCUACGCUAAUACCGCAUACGAUCUAUGGAUGAAAGCGGGGGAUCGCAAGACCUCGCGCGAUUGGAGCGGCCGAUAUCAGAUUAGGUAGUUGGUGAGGUAAAGGCUCACCAAGCCGACGGUCUGUAGCUGGUCUGAGAGGACGACCAGCCACACUGGGACUGAGACACGGCCCAGACUCCUACGGGAGGCAGCAGUGGGGAAUUUUGGACAAUGGGCGCAAGCCUGAUCCAGCAAUGCCGCGUGCAGGAUGAAGGCCUUCGGGUUGUAAACUGCUUUUGUACGGAACGAAACGGCGAGCUCUAAUAAGCUGAGCUCAUGACGGUACCGUAAGAAUAAGCACCGGCAAACUACGUGCCAGCAGCCGCCGUAA